AUUGAACGCUGGCGGAAUGCUUUACACAUGCAAGUCGAACGGCAGCACGGGAGCAAUCCUGGUGGCGAGUGGCGAACGGGUGAGUAAAGUAUCGGAACGUGCCCAGUCGUGGGGGAUAACGUAGCGAAAGUUACGCUAAUACCGCAUACGAUCUAUGGAUGAAAGCGGGGGAUCGCAAGACCUCGCGCGAUUGGAGCGGCCGAUAUCAGAUUAGGUAGUUGGGGGGGUAAAGGCUCACCAAGCCGACGAUCUGUAGCUGGUCUGAGAGGACGACCAGCCACCAUGGGACGGAGACACGGCCCAGACUCCUACGGGGGGCAGCAGUGGGAAUUUUGGACAAUGGGCGAAAGCCUGAUCCAGCCAUGCCGCGUGCAGGAUGAAGGCCUUCGGGUUGUAAACUGCUUUUGUACGGAACGAAAAGGUUUGGCCUAAUAAGCUGAGCUCAUGACGGUACCGUAAGAAUAAGCACCGGCUAACUACGUGCCAGCCGCCGCCGUAA
RNAcentral lists this ribosomal RNA (499 nucleotides) under uncultured bacterium. Its description in RNAcentral is "partial 16S ribosomal RNA". It matches the Rfam family "Bacterial small subunit ribosomal RNA", at positions 30 to 523 of the family's 1533-position model. The record is from RNAcentral.